UCUGUCUGCACAGUUGGAGAGCCCAUCUCUUCUCAGCUGGUGACCAGGCACCAUCAAAAUGGGAAAAAUGUCAUAGAACUGGGAAUGGGCAGAGCCUGCUCCAUGGCAUGAAGUGUUACUGCUGGGGAAGUCAGAUGACAGUGCUUCAUCCCACUUCUUGCUCAGAGCGGAGGGGGCAGAAAAUGCUUGAGAGUACAGAGCCUCACUGAUGAUCACAGGGAAUCUGCAGCUGCCUACUGAAGGCUUCCUCAUGCCUGCUACAUCUCAAGCAGCAGAUGAAAGGGGACUGCGUAGCAGUAAGGAGGUGGGAUACAGCCAAGACAACAAAUGAAAAAGAAUGGUAAAUGCACGCAGAGGAAGGUACUGCUGCUGUGCCUGCCAGUCUUGCUAACUGCAGAAAUCUAGAUGAAAAUCUUCAUGGAAGAAAUCUUUUCAUUAUGGAUCAGGAUGGAAGUGAUCUCUGUGCUGGAGCUGCCAGGCAACAAAACGGGUUGAAAACAGAGCUUAUCCAAGGUGUGAGCCACAGAAAAAAAUGCAAAAUAUGAUACUGACUUCAGAAAGCUUGGGUUAACUCCCCUACAGGUGGCUUCAGCCUCUCCUGAAAUCAGGAAUACAAACUCAGAAGAAGCAAUCAUGGCAUUAUCGAAAUCACUGGGAUCAUCUCCAUUUACUCCAAGAUCUGAUAAUGACACUUUGUUUUAUGGUACACAUGAAAGAAUGUUGUAUUCUAACAAAAGGACCCUGUACAAAGGACCAUUACAGAGGGAGUUAUUAUACCUUUAUUUUAUCUAUCACACAGAAUUUAUGGAAAUUAAUCUGUCUUUUAGGGCUGCUCAUCAUAGGGAACCUGGGAAAAUUACCUAAAUCCAUCUGCUUAUUUAUCUAACUGUGCCUGCCCAGCCAAGAGUGGGUCCCCUGCUGGUGCUGUUAUAGUCCAUAUCAUGUUUUAAUUCUUGUGAGAAGAAAAAACAAAUGCUAAAAGAUACAGUGAAACCUAUUGCUACAUUUUCAGUGGUGACCAAGUCUGAUGUUGUCAGAAGUCAGGAUAAACAGUGAAAUGAAUCAUCUGGUUACAAAAAUGGAGGAAGCUCUUUAGCUCAGUUUCAUGGGAUCGAGAUUAAUGAAACUGAAAAAUCAAGACAGGAUUGUUCAAAGCAGCUGCACCAAGAGUCAGAGCUUGGUUACCUUUACAGAUCAGAACAGAGCAGGAAGGGGAAAACAAAGACUAAAGCUGAACCUGCUAGAGUUUUGCAAGUACAAAAUCUAGAGAUCUGAGGGAAGGGAGGUUUUUAGACUGUGCUCCUCUUUGGACUUCUUUUAAACCUAAUGGGUAUUUAGAAGAUAGAUUAUCUGAAUGUCAUAGGGAACAACAGGUCUGUCUGGAUAACUGGGUGAAUUUGCAUCACAGUCAGGUACUGGGAAGAAAUGCCUUUGUGGAGUAUUUUAUUGAGGUUCAAGUAAUCAAAGAUGGGGUGUAAUGACAUCAGAGAUACAUUUUUUUAUUUUCAUGCCUUUCCUUUUCAUUUCCUAACCAUAUACCAGGUGAAGGAAAAUUCCAGCCUUCAGUGUAAAGGAGAGAAAUGUUUCCAGUCCUUGUGGUUGCACAUAAAGCAAAUUAAAAGAACCUGUUACAUUUCUGUAAGUAUAUAAAUUCAAGCCAGCUUUGUGAUUCUGGGUGCCAGCUGUAUGAGUUUUAAAGGCCAUAGGAAUGAAUUAGUCUCCGUCCUCUCCUUCAGUGUGCUUUAAAAAGCCAA
Molecule: long non-coding RNA, 1754 nt
Organism: Apus apus (common swift)
Lineage: Eukaryota; Metazoa; Chordata; Aves; Apodiformes; Apodidae
Exons: 3
Source: RefSeq, a predicted model, not a curated record